RNAcentral lists this ribosomal RNA (692 nucleotides) under uncultured fungus. RNAcentral's name for it is "eukaryotic LSU rRNA". The stretch from base 272 to 425 matches the Rfam family "5.8S ribosomal RNA". The record is from RNAcentral. Lineage: Eukaryota; Fungi.
AGUAAAAGUCGUAACAAGGUUUCCGUAGGUGAACCUGCGGAAGGAUCAUUAACGAGUUUGAAUUGGACUUGAUGCUGGCCCUUCGAAGGGUAUCGUGCUCAGUCCUACUCAAUUCCACUCAACACCUGUGCACACUCAAAGUUGUGGUCCUCCAUUUACUGGAGCUGUAAUCUAACUUUAGGUUACGGGGACUGCACUUUGCCCUUUUAUCACAAACACUCUAUUACGUUUUGUAGAAUGUGAUUAGCCCUCUGGGCGGAAAUGUUAAUAUAACUUUCAACAACGGAUCUCUUGGCUCUCGCAUCGAUGAAGAACGCAGCGAAAUGCGAUAAGUAAUGUGAAUUGCAGAUUUCAGUGAAUCAUCGAAUCUUUGAACGCACCUUGCGCUCCUUGGUAUUCCGAGGAGCAUGCCUGUUUGAGUGUCAUUAAAUCAUCAAUUCAUCCUUAUUUUGUAAGGCGGAAUUGGACUUGGAGACUUGCUGGACCUGUUCUAAUGGGUUCUGGCUUCUCUUGAAUGCAUUAGCUGGACUUUGAACGCGCAUAUAUGCAGUGUGAUAACUAUCUUCACUGUGUGCGAGUUUGACUAGACUUCGGCUUCUAAUGGUUUAUCUCUAUAGACAAUCUCUUUGACCAUCUGGCCUCAAAUCAGGUAGGAUUACCCGCUGAACUUAAGCAUAUCAAUAAGCGGAGGA